RNAcentral lists this ribosomal RNA (424 nucleotides) under uncultured Anaerobacterium sp. RNAcentral describes it as "bacterial SSU rRNA". It matches the Rfam family "Bacterial small subunit ribosomal RNA", at positions 338 to 759 of the family's 1533-position model. Lineage: Bacteria; Bacillati; Bacillota; Clostridia; Eubacteriales; Oscillospiraceae. The record is from RNAcentral.
CCUACGGGAGGCAGCAGUGAGGAAUAUUGGUCAAUGGACGAGAGUCUGAACCAGCCAAGUAGCGUGAAGGAUGACUGCCCUAUGGGUUGUAAACUUCUUUUAUAUGGGAAUAAAGUGCAGUAUGUAUACUGUUUUGUAUGUACCAUACGAAUAAGGAUCGGCUAACUCCGUGCCAGCAGCCGCGGUAAUACGGAGGAUCCGAGCGUUAUCCGGAUUUAUUGGGUUUAAAGGGAGCGUAGGCGGAUUAUUAAGUCAGUUGUGAAAGUUUGCGGCUCAACCGUAAAAUUGCAGUUGAUACUGGUAGUCUUGAGUGCAGCAGAGGUAGGCGGAAUUCGUGGUGUAGCGGUGAAAUGCUUAGAUAUCACGAAGAACUCCGAUUGCGAAGGCAGCUUACUGGACUGUAACUGACGCUGAUGCUCGAAAG